CGCAUUUAUUAGAUAAAAAGCCAAUGCAUGCUUUUACAGUAUGGAAAUUGGUGAUUUAUAAUAACUUGGCAAAUCGCAAAGUGAAAACAGGCGAUAAAUCAUUCAAGUUUCUGACCUAUCCCUUUUCGACGGUAUGGUAUUGGCUUACCGUGGCAGUGACGGUUAACGGGGGAUUAGGGUUCGAUUCCGGAGAGGGAGCCUGAGAAACGGCUACCACAUCUAAGGAAGGCAGCAGGCGCGCAAAUUACCCAAUUCUAACAGUUUGAGAGAGGUAGUACCAAGAAAUAACAAUACAAGGCAAUUAAAAUGCUUUGUAAUUGGAAUGAUAGAAAUUUAAACCCUUUUUGUAGUAUCAAUUGGAGGGCAAGUCUGGUGCCAGCAGCCGCGGUAAUUCCAGCUCCAAUAACGUAUAUUAAAAUUGUUGCAGUUAAAAAGCUCGUAGUUGAAGUUCUGCUAAAAGUAACCGGUCUGCUUUUAAUAAAAGUGGUAUCUUGGUGUGUAUUUAGCAAUGAUGUCCUUUGAAGUGUUUUUUACUUUAUUGGAGUAAAGCAUAUUCAGGACUUUUACUUUGAGAAAAUUAGAGUGUUUCUAGCAGGCCGACG
RNAcentral lists this ribosomal RNA (602 nucleotides) under Hepatozoon canis. Its description in RNAcentral is "SSU rRNA". It matches the Rfam family "Eukaryotic small subunit ribosomal RNA", at positions 202 to 790 of the family's 1831-position model. Lineage: Eukaryota; Apicomplexa; Hepatozoidae. The record is from RNAcentral.